AGUGAACGUUGGCGGCGUUGGAUUAGGCAUGCAAGUCGAGCGAUCGUAGCAAUACGGGAGCGGCAAACGGGUAGGAAUACAUCGGAACGUACCUUUUGGUUGUAGAAUAGCGUUGGGAAACUGACGGUAAUACUCAAUAAAGUCGAGAGACCAAAGGUUUACUGCCGGAAGAGCGGCCGAUGCGAUAUUAGGUAGUUGGUGGGGUAAUGGCCUACCAAGCCUGAGAUGUCUAGGGGGUGUGAGAGCAUGGCCCCCACCACUGGGACUGAGAUACUGCCCAGACACCUACGGGUGGCUGCAGUCGAGGAUCUUCGUCAAUGGGCGAAAGCCUGAACGAGCGACGCCGCGUGCGGGAUGAAGGCCCUUGGGUUGUAAACCGCUGUCAGGGGGGAUGAAACCGUAAGGUUGACAGAGCCCCAGAGGAAGCACGGGCUAAGUUCGUG
RNAcentral lists this ribosomal RNA (443 nucleotides) under uncultured bacterium. RNAcentral's name for it is "bacterial SSU rRNA". It matches the Rfam family "Bacterial small subunit ribosomal RNA", at positions 29 to 507 of the family's 1533-position model. The record is from RNAcentral.